AUUGAACGCUGGCGGCAGGCCUAACACAUGCAAGUCGAGCGGAUGAAGGGAGCUUGCUCCUGGAUUCAGCGGCGGACGGGUGAGUAAUGCCUAGGAAUCUGCCUGGUAGUGGGGGAUAACGUCCGGAAACGGGCGCUAAUACCGCAUACGUCCUGAGGGAGAAAGUGGGGGAUCUUCGGACCUCACGCUAUCAGAUGAGCCUAGGUCGGAUUAGCUAGUUGGUGGGGUAAAGGCCUACCAAGGCGACGAUCCGUAACUGGUCUGAGAGGAUGAUCAGUCACACUGGAACUGAGACACGGUCCAGACUCCUACGGGGAGCAGCAGUGGGGAAUAUUGGACAAUGGACGAGUGCCUGAUCCAGCCAUGCCGCGUGUGUGAAGAAGGUCUUCGGAUUGUAAAGCACUUUAAGUUGGGAGGAAGGGCAGUAAGUUAAUACCUUGCUGUUUUGACGUUACCAACAGAAUAAGCACCGGCUAACUUCGUG
This 484-nucleotide ribosomal RNA is filed under the name uncultured bacterium. RNAcentral describes it as "partial 16S ribosomal RNA". It matches the Rfam family "Bacterial small subunit ribosomal RNA", at positions 30 to 507 of the family's 1533-position model. The record is from RNAcentral.